RNAcentral lists this ribosomal RNA (433 nucleotides) under uncultured bacterium. RNAcentral describes it as "partial 16S ribosomal RNA". It matches the Rfam family "Bacterial small subunit ribosomal RNA", at positions 29 to 507 of the family's 1533-position model. The record is from RNAcentral.
GCGAACGCUGGCGGCAGGCCUAACCCAUGCCAGUCGCACGAACCUUUCGGGGUUAGUGGCGGACGGGUGAGUCACACGUGGGAACGUGCCUUUAGGUUCGGAAUAACUCAGGGAAACUUGUGCUAAUACCGAAUGUGCCCUUCGGGGGAAAGAUUUAUCGCCUUUAGAGCGGCCCGCGUCUGAUUAGCUAGUUGGUUGAGGUAAUGGCUCACCAAGGCGACGAUCAGUAGCUGGUCUGAGAGGAUGAUCAGCCACAUUGGGACUGAGACACGGCCCAAACUCCUACGGGAGGCAGCAGUGGGGAAUCUUGCGCAAUGGGCGAAAGCCUGACGCAGCCAUGCCGCGUGAAUGAUGAAGGUCUUAGGAUUGUAAAAUUCUUUCACCGGGGACGAUAAUGACGGUACCCGGAGAAGAAGCCCCGGCUAACUUCGUG